This 451-nucleotide ribosomal RNA is filed under the name uncultured bacterium. Its description in RNAcentral is "bacterial SSU rRNA". It matches the Rfam family "Bacterial small subunit ribosomal RNA", at positions 354 to 796 of the family's 1533-position model. The record is from RNAcentral.
GUCGAGGAUCAUUGGCAAUGCGCGCAAGCGUGACCAUGCGACGCUGUGUGGAGGAUGAAGGCCUUCGGGUCGUAAACUCCUGUCAUGAGGGAAAAAUCCUCCGGCUCGGAAUAUGGGUUGGAGUUGAUGGUACCUCAAGAGGAAGCGGCUGCUAACUCUGUGCCAGCAGCAGCGGUAAUACAGAGGCCGCAAGCGUUGUUCGGAUUUACUGGGCGUAAAGGGUGCGUAGGUUGCUCUGCAUGUCGGAUGUGAAAUCCCACGGCCCAACCGUGGAACGCCAUCCGAAACUGCAGAGCUGGAGUCCAGGAAGGGAGAGCGGAAUUCUUGGUGUAGCGGUGAAAUGCGUUGAUAUCAAGAGGAAAGCCGGCGGCGAAGGCGGCUCUCUGGACUGGUACUGACACUGAGGCACGAAAGCUGGGGGAGCAAACAGGAUUAGAUACCCGAGUAGUCC